UCGUGGAACGGCAGCACAGGAGCUUGCUCCUGAUGGCGAGUGGCGAACGGGUGAGUAAUAUAUCGGAACGUGCCCUAGAGUGGGGGAUAACUAGUCGAAAGACUAGCUAAUACCGCAUACGAUCUACGGAUGAAAGUGGGGGAUCGCAAGACCUCAUGCUCCUGGAGCGGCCGAUAUCUGAUUAGCUAGUUGGUGGGGUAAAAGCCUACCAAGGCAACGAUCAGUAGCUGGUCUGAGAGGACGACCAGCCACACUGGGACUGAGACACGGCCCAGACUCCUACGGGAGGCAGCAGUGGGGAAUUUUGGACAAUGGGGGCAACCCUGAUCCAGCAAUGCCGCGUGAGUGAAGAAGGCCUUCGGGUUGUAAAGCUCUUUUGUCAGGGAAGAAACGGUAGUAGCGAAUAACUAUUACUAAUGACGGUACCUGAAGAAUAAGCACCGGCUAACUACGUGCCAGCAGCCGCGGUAAUACGUAGGGUGCAAGCGUUAAUCGGAAUUACUGGGCGUAAAGCGUGCGCAGGCGGUUGUGUAAGUCAGAUGUGAAAUCCCCGGGCUCAACCUGGGAAUUGCAUUUGAGACUGCACGGCUAGAGUGUGUCAGAGGGGGGUAGAAUUCCACGUGUAGCAAUGAAAUGCGUAGAUAUGUGGAGGAAUACCGAUGGCGAAGGCAGCCCCCUGGGAUAACACUGACGCUCAUG
This 699-nucleotide ribosomal RNA is filed under the name Herbaspirillum sp. RNAcentral describes it as "bacterial SSU rRNA". It matches the Rfam family "Bacterial small subunit ribosomal RNA", at positions 59 to 751 of the family's 1533-position model. The record is from RNAcentral. Lineage: Bacteria; Pseudomonadati; Pseudomonadota; Betaproteobacteria; Burkholderiales; Oxalobacteraceae.